UCCGUGGAACGUAACAAAAGGCGUUCAUUUGCGAAAACAGUGGGUUGGUUGGCCAUUUUCCAAGAAAUUGAAACUAUAUUUUCGUGUGUUUUUGUUUGAAGUCAUAAAGUUCAAGAGUGCCGUGGGAAGCAGUGCAAGAUCUAGUGGUUUAGUGAGCAGGACAUACUCAAAAAUGUUUCACCUGGAGAACAGAUACGACCCAAUUCUUGGCUACAACUACACGUAUUGGCCAGAUUCUAAAUAUUUCAGGAACUAUAGAUUCUCACCACCCAUCAGUUGGUAUGACAACUGGUCCACCAGAUCGCGAGUUUGGUUUCCUUAUUAUUGGUCCACUAGGAGGUUGUUCCAACACUAUUCAGAAUACAGACCAUCUAGCAGAGCACUCAGAGAACAACGGUUGAGAAACAAUCUGUACUUCUGAUUGGACCGGAAAUUAUUUGGAUUGAAGAAUUGAGAUGAUGAAGAUCUUUGAGUUUUGUGAGAUAUAUUUUUUAU
Long non-coding RNA from Leptinotarsa decemlineata (Colorado potato beetle), 495 nucleotides. The record is from RefSeq and is a predicted model, not a curated record. Lineage: Eukaryota; Metazoa; Arthropoda; Insecta; Coleoptera; Chrysomelidae.